GACGAACGCUGGCGGCGUGCUUAACACAUGCAAGUCGAACGCUGAAGCUCAGCUUUUGUUGGGUGGAUGAGUGGCGAACGGGUGAGUAACACGUGAGUAACCUGCCUCCUUCUUUGGGAUAACGCCCGGAAACGGGUGCUAAUACUGGAUAUUCACUGGUCUUCGCAUGGGGGUUGGUGGAAAGGGUUUUUCUGGUGGGGGAUGGGCUCGCGGCCUAUCAGCUUGUUGGUGGGGUGAUGGCCUACCAAGGCUUUGACGGGUAGCCGGCCUGAGAGGGUGACCGGUCACAUUGGGACUGAGAUACGGCCCAGACUCCACGGGAGGCAGCAGUGGGGAAUAUUGCACAAUGGGCGCAAGCCUGAUGCAGCGACGCCGCGUGAGGGAUGGAGGCCUUCGGGUUGUGAACCUCUUUCGCUCAUGGUCAAGCCGCAACAAUGGUUGUGGUGAGGGUAGUGGGUAAAGAAGCGCCGGCUAACUACGUG
RNAcentral lists this ribosomal RNA (482 nucleotides) under uncultured bacterium. RNAcentral describes it as "partial 16S ribosomal RNA". It matches the Rfam family "Bacterial small subunit ribosomal RNA", at positions 28 to 507 of the family's 1533-position model. The record is from RNAcentral.